ACUCAAAGGAAUUGACGGGGGCCCGCACAAGCGGCGGAGCAUGUUGCUUAAUUCGACGCAACGCGAAGAACCUUACCAAGGUUUGACAUCACCCGGAAAGCUGCAGAGAUGUGGCCCUCUUCGGACUGGGUGACAGGUGGUGCAUGGCUGUCGUCAGCUCGUGUCGUGAGAUGUUGGGUUAAGUCCCGCAACGAGCGCAACCCUUGCUCCAUGUUGCCAGCACGCCCUUCGGGGUGGUGGGGACUCAUGGGGGACUGCCGGGGUCAACUCGGAGGAAGGUGGGGAUGACGUCAAGUCAUCAUGCCCCUUAUGUCUUGGGCUGCAAACAUGCUACAAUGGCCGGUACAGAGGGUUGCGAUACCGUGAGGUGGAGCGAAUCCCUAAAAGCCGGUCUCAGUUCGGAUUGGGGUCUGCAACUCGACCCCAUGAAGUCGGAGUCGCUAGUAAUCGCAGAUCAGCAAUGCUGCGGUGAAUACGUUCCCGGGCCUUGCACACACCGCCCGU
RNAcentral lists this ribosomal RNA (504 nucleotides) under uncultured bacterium. RNAcentral's name for it is "partial 16S ribosomal RNA". It matches the Rfam family "Bacterial small subunit ribosomal RNA", at positions 899 to 1397 of the family's 1533-position model. The record is from RNAcentral.